This 587-nucleotide ribosomal RNA is filed under the name uncultured bacterium. RNAcentral's name for it is "bacterial SSU rRNA". It matches the Rfam family "Bacterial small subunit ribosomal RNA", at positions 337 to 916 of the family's 1533-position model. The record is from RNAcentral.
UCCUACGGGAGGCAGCAGUGGGGAAUAUUGCACAAUGGGGGAAACCCUGAUGCAGCCAUGCCGCGUGUGUGAAGAAGGCCUUCAGGUUGUAAAGCACUUUCAGUUGUGAGGAAAAGUUAGUAGUUAAUACCUGCUAGCCGUGACGUUAACAACAGAAGAAGCACCGGCUAACUCCGUGCCAGCAGCCGCGGUAAUACGGAGGGCGCGAGCGUUAAUCGGAAUUACUGGGCGUAAAGCGCACGCAGGCGGUUUGUUAAGCUAGAUGUGAAAGCCCCGGGCUCAACCUGGGAUGGUCAUUUAGAACUGGCAGACUAGAGUCUUGGAGAGGGGAGUGGAAUUCCAGGUGUAGCGGUGAAAUGCGUAGAUAUCUGGAGGAACAUCAGUGGCGAAGGCGACUCCCUGGCCAAAGACUGACGCUCAUGUGCGAAAGUGUGGGUAGCGAACAGGAUUAGAUACCCUGGUAGUCCACACCGUAAACGCUGUCUACUAGCUGUGUGUGUCUUUAAGACGUGCGUAGCGAAGCUAACGCGCUAAGUAGACCGCCUGGGGAGUACGGCCGCAAGGUUAAAACUCAAAUGAAUUGACGG